GAUGAAGAACGUAGCGAAAUGCGAUAAGUAAUGUGAAUUGCAGAAUUCAGUGAAUCAUCGAAUCUUUGAACGCACAUUGCGCCCGCCAGUAUUCUGGCGGGCAUGCCUGUUCGAGCGUCAUUUCAACCCUCAGGCCCCCAGUGCCUGGCGUUGGGGAUCGGCGCGGCGCCCUCCGGGGCGCUGCCGGCCCCGAAAUUCAGUGGCGGUCUCGCUGUAGCCCUCCUCCGCGUAGUAGCACAACCUCGCGGCCUGGAGCUCGGCGGUGGCCAUGCCGUAAAACACCCCACUUCUGAAAGUUGACCUCGGAUCAGGUAGGAAUACCCGCUGAACUUAAGCAUAUCAAUAAGCGGAGGA
Molecule: unclassified non-coding RNA, 354 nt
Filed under: soil metagenome
Description: partial contains 5.8S ribosomal RNA, internal transcribed spacer 2, and large subunit ribosomal RNA
Rfam family: 5.8S ribosomal RNA (bases 1-120)
Source: RNAcentral